This 678-nucleotide ribosomal RNA is filed under the name Triticum aestivum (bread wheat). RNAcentral's name for it is "partial small subunit ribosomal RNA". Lineage: Eukaryota; Viridiplantae; Streptophyta; Magnoliopsida; Poales; Poaceae. The record is from RNAcentral.
AUGACCGAGCGAAGGCAGGAGCACUCGCCGCCGUCCAAGAUCCCCCGCCUCUCCGGCGCCGACGACGAUGACGGCGCAGGGACGGUGACCAUGGCGGCGCCGUCGCCGCUGGUUCUUGGGCUGGGUCUCGGCGUAGGCGGCAGCAGCAGUGACAGCGGACGCGGCGACGCGGAGGCCUCUGCGGCGACGCGGCCGUCGGCGCUGACGUUCAUGCAGCGGCAGGAGCUGGAGCACCAGGUGCUCAUCUACCGCUACUUCGCCGCCAACGCUCCCGUGCCCGUGCACCUCGUGCUCCCCAUCUGGAAGAGCGUCGCCGCUUCCUCCUCCGCCCCGCAGAGGUUUCCAUCCCUGGCGGGGCUGGGGAGCAUGUGCUACGACCACAGGAGCAGCAUGGAGCCGGAGCCGGACCGGUGCCGGCGCACGGACGGCAAGAAGUGGCGGUGCUCGCGCGGCGUGGUGCCGGGGCACAAGUACUGCGAGCGCCACGUCCACCGCGGCCGCAGCCGUGCAAGAAAGCCUGUGGAAGCCGCGGCGGCCACAUCAGCCGUCCCGAUCCGCGCGAUGCACGCCGCCGACGCGCAGGGCGCCACCAGUGCGCACGCGGCGCCACCGCAGCGCCUCGGCUUCUCCUCCCCCGCCGGCGUCUACCUGGCGCACGGCACCGCCCGUGCCACCUGA